This 83-nucleotide transfer RNA is filed under the name Felis catus (domestic cat). It matches the Rfam family "tRNA". From Rfam's summary of the family: Transfer RNA (tRNA) molecules are approximately 80 nucleotides in length. Lineage: Eukaryota; Metazoa; Chordata; Mammalia; Carnivora; Felidae. The record is from Rfam by way of RNAcentral.
ACCUGGGUGGCUUAGCUGGUUAAGCAUCUGACUUCAGCUCAGGUCAUGUUCUCCCAGCGUGGGUUCAAGUCCCGCAUCAGGUG